AUGAGAGCUGAGGGUUGUGCUCAUGCACUUGGGAGUUUGCACAUGGGUUUGGCGUUUGCAGGUGCGCUUGGGGGUCUGCAGUGUGUUUGCAGUGUGUGCACUUGGAGUUUGCACGUGGGUUUGGGGUUUGCAGGUGCACUUGGGGUCUGCAUCGUGCUUGCAAGGGGUGCUCAGAGUGUGCACUCGGAGUUUGCACGUGGGUUUGGCAUUUGCAGGUGCACUUGGGGGUCUGCAGUAUGUUUGCAACCUGUGCUUGGGUUGUACACGUGCACUUGGAUUUUGCACGUGGGUUUGGCGUUUGCAGGUGCAUUUGGGGUCUGCAGAGUGUUUGCAACGUGUGCUCAGGGUGUGCACUUGGAGUUUGCACGUGGGUUUGGUGUUUGCAGGUGCACUUGGGGUCUGCAGAGUGUUUGCAACCUGUGCUCAGGGUGUGCACAUGCACUCAAAGUUUGCACCUGGGUUUGGUGUUUGCAGGUGCACUUGGGGUCUGCAGCAUUUGCCAUGAGAGCUGAGGGUUGUGCUCAUGCACUUGGAGUUUGCACAUGUGUUUGGUAUUUGCAGGUGCACUUGGACUCUGCAGAGUGUUUGCAACGUGUGCUCAGAUUGUGCACUUGGAGUUUGCACACGGGUUUGGUGUUUGCAGGUGCACUUGGGAUCUGCAGCGUGCUUGCAGUGGGUGCUCCGAGUGUGCACUUGGAGUUUGCACGUAGGCUUGCAAUGUGUGCACUCGGAGUUUGCACCUGGGUUUGGUGUUUGCAGGUGCACUUGGGGUCUGCAGCAUGCUUGCAAUGGGUGCUCAGAGUGUGCAUUCAGAGUUUGCACGUGGGUUUGGUGUUUGCACUUGCCGUUGGGGUUUGCAGUGUGUUUGCAAUGUGUGCACUCGGAGUUUGCACGUGGGUUUGGUGUUUGCAUGGGCGCUUGGGGUGCGCACCGCGUUUGCAAUGUGAGCUCAGGGUGUGCUCAUACACUUGGAGUUCACGUGGAGGUUUGGCAUUUGCAUGUGCACUUGGGGUCUGCAGAGUGUUUGCAACGCGUGCUCAGAGUGUGCACUCGGAGCUUGCACCUGGGUUUGCUUUUUGCAGGCGCACUCGGGGGUCUGCAGCGUGCUUGCAAUUCUUGCUUAGGGUGUGCGUUCAGAGUUUGCACAUGGGCUUGGCAGUUGCACGUGCAAUUGCGGCCUGCGGUGUGUUUGCAAUGUGUGCACUUGGAGUUUGCACGUGGGUUGGGCGUUUGCAUGGGCCCUUGAGUCUGCAGAGUGUUUGCAACCUGUGCUCAGAGCGUGCAUGCAAAGUUUGCACGCGGGUUUGGUGUUUGCAGAGGCACGUGGGGGCUGCAGCGUGCUUGCAACGUGUGCUCGGGGUGUGCACUCAGAUGUUGCAGAUGGAUUUGGUAUUUUGCAAGUGCAUUUAG
This 1410-nucleotide long non-coding RNA is filed under the name Numida meleagris (helmeted guineafowl). RNAcentral describes it as "lncRNA (ENSNMEG00000004204.1)". Lineage: Eukaryota; Metazoa; Chordata; Aves; Galliformes; Numididae. The record is from RNAcentral.